This is a long non-coding RNA of Athene cunicularia (burrowing owl), 692 nucleotides long. RefSeq lists it as uncharacterized. The transcript has 3 exons. The record is from RefSeq and is a predicted model, not a curated record. Lineage: Eukaryota; Metazoa; Chordata; Aves; Strigiformes; Strigidae.
UGAGAUGAUCACACAAGAAGUCUUUUAUCACUUUGGCGGCUCUGAGCCAGAGCUGCUUGUGGUGGAAGUCGCCGGGACUGUAACCCCGGGCUGUCAUGGGACGAGAGUCAAGCUCAGGCUGUCAGCAAGGCGAGUUGCAGCAGUCGGAGCCCCUGCCAGGACACGUCAGUACUUCUGACUGCUUCCCCUGGUGCUGCUCUCAUUAAGGAAAAGGUAUUUGUUGAGGAAGGAGGGUCCUGCUGAGCUAUGAGACUGCUGGUCUCCAGCCACUCUCGCUCACAGCUUCUUCCCCACAUCGUUUCACAACAUCAGACAACAACACCUUGAAGAGGGGACUGUGACUCUGAGCCCAAGAAGUCACAUUCCCCAGAGGGUUAAAGGAAGAUGUGGGUGGCACAGAAGGAUCUCCUCUGACUGAAGGACUGCGAGACUCAGAGGAGCCAUGUUGUGCAUCUCUUAUCCGUGUUGACUAAUAUUUGGACCCCUCCAGGCAAGUACCGGUCGGCAAGGAAGGGUGGGGAGAUGGGGCUAGUCCAGCUCACUUUCAGAGCAAGGUUCAGUGUGCUGUUGUUUAAUGGAGAUGUUUAGAUACGCCAGCAGCUGAGCCACACACAUCCAUGAGCAAUCUCCACGUAACCCUGAGGACCUCCAGGGACAAGACACUAAAGUGGCUGACGGGCUGAAAUGACACC